UUUGGAGCUCCAGUUAGUGGAAAUAGGAGUACAGCUUUGUGUAUGCAUUUUGGAGCCAGAGCUAUUGACUUCCUGCCCUGAUAAGUUUCUGCGAAGGGAGUGUUCUUAAUUACAGGAUUACAUGAUUACAACUGCUAACUUCCAAAUGGCUUUUCAACAUCCAACUUUCAGACUACAAAACUCAGAAGAUUCAGAAGAUAAGUCUUCAGUUUCAAGUUUUAAGCAUCACAAGUUUCCAUGUAUUUCAUAGUUUAGUCUUUGACAAGCUACAAUAAAUGUUUUCUGUUUACCUGA
Molecule: long non-coding RNA, 294 nt
Organism: Labeo rohita (rohu)
Lineage: Eukaryota; Metazoa; Chordata; Actinopteri; Cypriniformes; Cyprinidae
Exons: 2
Source: RefSeq, a predicted model, not a curated record